UACGUAGGGCGCAAGCGUUGUCCGGAAUUAUUGGGCGUAAAGGGCUCGUAGGCGGCCAACUAAGUCCGACGUGAAAUCCCCAAGCUUAACUUGGGAACUGCGUCGGAUACUGGAUGGCUUGAAUUCGGGAGAGGGAUGCAGAAUUCCAGGUGUAGCGGUGAAAUGCGUAGAUAUCUGGAGGAAUACCGGUGGCGAAGGCGGCAUCCUGGACCGACAUUGACGCUGAGGAGCGAAAGCGAGGGGAGCAAACGGG
This 253-nucleotide ribosomal RNA is filed under the name uncultured bacterium. Its description in RNAcentral is "partial 16S ribosomal RNA". It matches the Rfam family "Bacterial small subunit ribosomal RNA", at positions 524 to 776 of the family's 1533-position model. The record is from RNAcentral.